UUGGUUAAGUUAGAAAGGGCGCACGGUGGAUGCCUUGGCACUAGGAGCCGAAGAAGGACGGGACUAACACCGAUAUGCUUUGGGGAGCUGUACGUAAGCGUUGAUCCAGAGAUUUCCGAAUGGGGGAACCCACUAUCUUUAGUCGGAUAGUAUCCUUACGUGAAUACAUAGCGUGAGGAAGGCAGACCCAGGGAACUGAAACAUCUAAGUACCUGGAGGAAGAGAAAGAAAAAUCGAUUUCCUGAGUAGCGGCGAGCGAAACGGAAAGAGCCCAAACCAAGAAGCUUGCUUCUUGGGGUUGUAGGACACUCUAUACGGAGUUACAAAAGAAAGUUAUAAAUGAAGCGGUCUGGAAAGGCCCGCCAAAGACGGUAACAGCCCGGUAGUUGAAAUGGCUUUCCCUCCAGAGUGGAUCCUGAGUACGGCGGAACACGUGAAAUUCCGUCGGAAUCCGGGAGGACCAUCUCCCAAGGCUAAAUACUCCCUAGUGACCGAUAGUGAACCAGUACCGUGAGGGAAAGGUGAAAAGCACCCCGGAAGGGGAGUGAAACAGUUCCUGAAACCGUGUGCCUACAAGUAGUUAGAGCCCGUUAAUGGGUGAUAGCGUGCCUUUUGUAGAAUGAACCGGCGAGUUACGAUUUGUUGCAAGGUUAAGCGGAAAAAGCGGAGCCGUAGCGAAAGCGAGUCUGAAUAGGGCGCAUAAGUAACAGGUCGUAGACCCGAAACCAGGUGAUCUACCCAUGUCCAGGAUGAAGGUAAGGUAAUACUUACUGGAGGUCCGAACCCACGCACGUUGAAAAGUGCGGGGAUGAGGUGUGGGUAGCGGAGAAAUUCCAAUCGAACUUGGAGAUAGCUGGUUCUCUCCGAAAUAGCUUUAGGGCUAGCCUCGAGGUAAAGAGUCAUGGAGGUAGAGCACUGUUUGGACUAGGGGCCCUUCUCGGGUUACCGAAUUCAGAUAAACUCCGAAUGCCAUGUACUUAUACUCGGGAGUCAGACUGCGAGUGAUAAGAUCCGUAGUCGAAAGGGAAACAGCCCAGACCACCAGUUAAGGUCCCCAAAUAUAUGUUAAGUGGAAAAGGAUGUGGGGUUGCUUAGACAACCAGGAUGUUGGCUUAGAAGCAGCCACCAUUGAAAGAGUGCGUAAUAGCUCACUGGUCGAGUGACCCCGCGCCGAAAAUGUACCGGGGCUAAACAUAUUACCGAAACUGUGGAUGAACCUCUUUAGAGGUUCGUGGUAGGAGAGCGUUCUAAGGGCGGUGAAGUCAGACCGGAAGGACUGGUGGAGCGCUUAGAAGUGAGAAUGCCGGUAUGAGUAGCGAAAGAAGGGUGAGAAUCCCUUCCACCGAAUAUCUAAGGUUUCCUGAGGAAGGCUCGUCCGCUCAGGGUUAGUCGGGACCUAAGCCGAGGCCGAUAGGCGUAGGCGAUGGACAACAGGUAGAGAUUCCUGUACCAGUGCUAAUUGUUUAACCGAUGGGGUGACACAGAAGGAUAGGGAAUCGCACGAAUGGAAAUGUGCGUCCAAGCAGUGAGUGUGAGAAGUAGGCAAAUCCGCUUCUCGCGAAGCAUGAGCUGUGAUGGGGAAGGAAAUUAAGUACGGAAGUUCCUGAUUUCACGCUGUCAAGAAAAGCCUCUAGGAAGAGUAGUACUGCCCGUACCGCAAACCGACACAGGUAGAUGAGGAGAGAAUCCUAAGGUGAGCGAGAGAACUCUCGUUAAGGAACUCGGCAAAAUGACCCCGUAACUUCGGGAGAAGGGGUGCUCUAUUAGGGUGCAAGCCCGAGAGAGCCGCAGUGAAUAGGCCCAGGCGACUGUUUAGCAAAAACACAGGUCUCUGCAAAACCGUAAGGUGACGUAUAGGGGCUGACGCCU
Molecule: ribosomal RNA, 1869 nt
Filed under: Listeria monocytogenes
Lineage: Bacteria; Bacillati; Bacillota; Bacilli; Caryophanales; Listeriaceae
Description: partial 23S ribosomal RNA
Rfam family: Bacterial large subunit ribosomal RNA
Source: RNAcentral